AACGAACGCUGGCGGCAUGCCUAACACAUGCAAGUCGAACGAGACCUUCGGGUCUAGUGGCGCACGGGUGCGUAACGCGUGGGAACCUGCCCUUAGGUUCGGAAUAACUCCCCGAAAGGGGUGCUAAUACCGGAUAAUGUCUUCGGACCAAAGAUUUAUCGCCUUUGGAUGGGCCCGCGUUGGAUUAGCUAGUUGGUAGGGUAAAAGCCUACCAAGGCGACGAUCCAUAGCUGGUCUGAGAGGGUGAUCAGCCACACUGGGACUGAGACACGGCCCAGACUCCUACGGGAGGCAGCAGUGGGGAAUAUUGGACAAUGGGCGAAAGCCUGAUUCAGCAAUGCCGCGUGAGUGAUGAAGGCCUUAGGGUUGUAAAGCUCUUUUACCCGGGAUGAUAAUGACAGUACCGGGAGAAUAAGCUCCGGCUAACUCCGUG
RNAcentral lists this ribosomal RNA (433 nucleotides) under uncultured bacterium. RNAcentral describes it as "partial 16S ribosomal RNA". It matches the Rfam family "Bacterial small subunit ribosomal RNA", at positions 29 to 507 of the family's 1533-position model. The record is from RNAcentral.